Molecule: transfer RNA, 62 nt
Filed under: Cucujoidea sp. 3 KM-2017
Lineage: Eukaryota; Metazoa; Arthropoda; Insecta; Coleoptera
Description: tRNA-Trp
Source: RNAcentral
AAAGAUUUAAGUUAUUAAACUAUUAACCUUCAAAGUUAAAAAUAGAAAAAUUCUAAUCUUUA